GACGAACGCUGGCGGCGUGCUUAACACAUGCAAGUCGAACGGAAAGGCCCUGCUUUUGUGGGGUGCUCGAGUGGCGAACGGGUGAGUAACACGUGAGUAACCUGCCCUUGACUUUGGGAUAACUUCAGGAAACUGGGGCUAAUACCGGAUAGGAGCUCCUGCUGCAUGGUGGGGGUUGGAAAGUUUCGGCGGUUGGGGAUGGACUCGCGGCUUAUCAGCUUGUUGGUGGGGUAGUGGCUUACCAAGGCUUUGACGGGUAGCCGGCCUGAGAGGGUGACCGGGCACAUUGGGACUUGGGUACGGCCCAGGCUCCUACGGGAGGCAACAGGGGGGAAUAUUGCACAAUGGGCGGAAGCCUGAUGCAGCAACGCCGCGUGCGGGAUGACGGCCUUCGGGUUGUAAACCGCUUUCGCCUGUGACGAAGCGUGAGUGACGGUAAUGGGGAAAGAAGCACCGGCUAACUACGUGC
This 469-nucleotide ribosomal RNA is filed under the name uncultured bacterium. RNAcentral describes it as "partial 16S ribosomal RNA". It matches the Rfam family "Bacterial small subunit ribosomal RNA", at positions 28 to 508 of the family's 1533-position model. The record is from RNAcentral.